GAUGAACGCUGGCGGCGUGCCUAAUACAUGCAAGUCGAGCGAACAGAUGAGAAGCUUGCUUCUCUGAUGUUAGCGGCGGACGGGUGAGUAACACGUGGGUAACCUACCUAUAAGACUGGGAUAACUCCGGGAAACCGGGGCUAAUACCGGAGAAUAUUUUGAACCGCAUGGUUCAAUAGUGAAAGACGGUUUCGGCUGUCACUUAUAGAUGGACCCGCGCCGUAUUAGCUAGUUGGUAAGGUAACGGCUUACCAAGGGGACGAUACGUAGCCGACCUGAUAGGGUGAUGGGACAGACUGGAACUGAGACACGGUCCAGACUGAUACGGGAGGCAGCAGUAGUGCAUCUUCCGCAAUGGGUGAAGGCUUGACGGAGCUUUGCCGCGGGAGUGAUGAAGGUCUUCGGAUCGUAAAACUCUGUUGUUAGGGAAGAACAAAUUUGUUAGUAACUGAACAAGUCUUGACGGUACCUAACCAGAAAGCCACGGCUAACUACGUGCCAGCAGCCGCAGUAA
Molecule: ribosomal RNA, 514 nt
Filed under: uncultured bacterium
Lineage: Bacteria
Description: partial 16S ribosomal RNA
Rfam family: Bacterial small subunit ribosomal RNA
Source: RNAcentral